Molecule: ribosomal RNA, 461 nt
Filed under: uncultured bacterium
Lineage: Bacteria
Description: bacterial SSU rRNA
Rfam family: Bacterial small subunit ribosomal RNA
Source: RNAcentral
GCGGCGCACGGGUGAGUAACACGUAGGCAAUCUGCCUCGAGGUGGUGGAUAACCCUCCGAAAGGAGGGCUAAUACAGCAUGAGACCACGUCGUCGAAAGACGAUGCGGCCAAAGCCGGCCUCUUCAUGAAAGCUGGCGCCACGAGAUGAGCCUGCGGCCCAUCAGCUAGUUGGUAGGGUAACGGCCUACCAAGGCAAAGACGGGUAGCUGGUCUGAGAGGAUGAUCAGCCACACUGGAACUGAGACACGGUCCAGACUCCUACGGGAGGCAGCAGUGGGGAAUCUUGCGCAAUGGGCGAAAGCCUGACGCAGCGACGCCGCGUGAGCGAUGAAGGCCUUCGGGUUGUAAAGCUCUGUGGAGGGGGACGAAUAAGGGCACGCUAAUACCGUGUUUGAUGACGGUACCCCUUUAGCAAGCACCGGCUAACUCUGUGCCAGCAGCCGCGGUAAGACAGAGGGUG